This 253-nucleotide ribosomal RNA is filed under the name uncultured bacterium. Its description in RNAcentral is "partial 16S ribosomal RNA". It matches the Rfam family "Bacterial small subunit ribosomal RNA", at positions 524 to 776 of the family's 1533-position model. The record is from RNAcentral.
UACGUAGGGGGCAAGCGUUGUCCGGAUUUAUUGGGCGUAAAGAGCGUGUAGGCGGCCAUGCAGGUCCGUUGUGAAAACUCGAGGCUCAACCUCGAGACGCCGGUGGAAACCGUAUGGCUAGAGUCCGGAAGAGGAGAGUGGAAUUCCUGGUGUAGCGGUGAAAUGCGCAGAUAUCAGGAAGAACACCCGUGGCGAAGGCGGCUCUCUGGGACGUGACUGACGCUGAGACGCGAAAGCGUGGGGAGCGAACAGG